Long non-coding RNA from Brassica rapa (field mustard), 634 nucleotides. RefSeq lists it as uncharacterized. The record is from RefSeq and is a predicted model, not a curated record. NCBI's taxonomy places the organism in Eukaryota, Viridiplantae, Streptophyta, Magnoliopsida, Brassicales, Brassicaceae.
AACACAAUACGUACAAUUCCAUUCAUUCUGAAAUUUCCAUUUUAGUUGCAUCAUUAAAAUGACUAGAGCCAACGUUCUUGCUCUUUGUAUGGUGGUUCUUGUUCUAGGAAUGAUAAUGGAGGUAACAGAAGGACAAGAAUGGUGUCAUGAUUAUAUGACAGGAAAGCAAAAGUGUGAAGCUAAACAUUGUGCUGCUCAGUGUAAACGGAAGUGGAAAGGCGUAGGCAGAUGUAUGCCAUCAAGCACACAGUGUCUAUGCACUUUUAAAUGCAACAAAUGAUUUUUUUUUUUGUUAUCUAUAAACUAUCAUCGAUAUUUUAAUAAAAUAAUGGGUUAAAAAGAAAUUGCACUCUUUUCUAAUAUUUAUGCGAAUGUGAAUUAUGAUUUUAGUUAUUGGCUUGAACUGUAAAUUUCUAUUUUGGCACAUGUGCACUAUCAUCUGUUGAUGAAUAUCAAUACUAGCAAAUUUUGAAAAAAAUAUAAAUACUAAAAAUUAAAAAUUGCAUGUGGCGAUGAAUUGGGAGAAUGCGAAAAUUGUAUGUGUUUUUUUUUUUUUUUUUUCAGAAAUAAGAGAGUGCAAAUUGAUGUUUUAACAUAUGUAUAGAAGUGGUAACAGAAGAAAACAUGCAAGAAC